This 853-nucleotide ribosomal RNA is filed under the name uncultured bacterium. Its description in RNAcentral is "bacterial SSU rRNA". It matches the Rfam family "Bacterial small subunit ribosomal RNA", at positions 25 to 875 of the family's 1533-position model. The record is from RNAcentral.
CAGGAUGAACGCUAGCGACAGGCUUAACACAUGCAAGUCGAGGGGCAGCACAGGUAGCAAUACCGUUUGGCGACCGGCGCACGGGUGAGUAACGCGUAUGCAACUUGCCUAUCAGAGGGGGAUAACCCGGCGAAAGUCGGACUAAUACCGCAUGAAGCAGGGGCCCCGCAUGGGGAUAUUUGCUAAAGAUUCAUCGCUGAUAGAUAGGCAUGCGUUCCAUUAGGCAGUUGGCGGGGUAACGGCCCACCAAACCGACGAUGGAUAGGGGUUCUGAGAGGAAGGUCCCCCACAUUGGUACUGAGACACGGACCAAACUCCUACGGGAGGCAGCAGUGAGGAAUAUUGGUCAAUGGGCGUAAGCCUGAACCAGCCAAGUCGCGUGAGGGAUGAAGGUUCUAUGGAUCGUAAACCUCUUUUAUAAGGGAAUAAAGUGCGGGACGUGUCCCGUUUUGUAUGUACCUUAUGAAUAAGGAUCGGCUAACUCCGUGCCAGCAGCCGCGGUAAUACGGAGGAUCCGAGCGUUAUCCGGAUUUAUUGGGUUUAAAGGGUGCGUAGGCGGCCUUUUAAGUCAGCGGUGAAAGUCUGUGGCUCAACCAUAGAAUUGCCGUUGAAACUGGGGGGCUUGAGUAUGUUUGAGGCAGGCGGAAUGCGUGGUGUAGCGGUGAAAUGCAUAGAUAUCACGCAGAACCCCGAUUGCGAAGGCAGCCUGCCAAGCCAUUACUGACGCUGAUGCACGAAAGCGUGGGGAUCAAACAGGAUUAGAUACCCUGGUAGUCCACGCAGUAAACGAUGAUCACUAGCUGUUUGCGAUACACUGUAAGCGGCACAGCGAAAGCGUUAAGUGAUCCCCCUG